UCCCAAUAUCCCAGUCCCUCCCAGUGCUCCCAGUCCGCCCCAGUGCUCCCAGUACCCCCAGUCCCAGUAUGUCCCAGUCCCUCCCAGUCCCUCCCAUCCCUCCCAGUUUCCCCAUCCCUCCCAGUGCUCCCAGUUCCCCCAGUCCCAAUAUCCCAGUCCCUCCCAGUACCUCCCAGUGCCCCCAGUCCCAGUAUGUCCCAGUCUCCCCCAGUACCCCCAGUCCCUCCCAGUUUCCCCAUCCCUCCCAGUGCUCCCAGUGCUCCCAGUACCUCCCAGUCCCUCCCAGUGCUCCCAGUGCCCCCAG
Molecule: long non-coding RNA, 304 nt
Filed under: Gallus gallus (chicken)
Lineage: Eukaryota; Metazoa; Chordata; Aves; Galliformes; Phasianidae
Description: lncRNA (ENSGALG00010009758.1)
Source: RNAcentral